Molecule: small nucleolar RNA, 215 nt
Organism: Lycium ferocissimum
Lineage: Eukaryota; Viridiplantae; Streptophyta; Magnoliopsida; Solanales; Solanaceae
Product: small nucleolar RNA U3
Exons: 1
Source: RefSeq, a predicted model, not a curated record
ACGACCUUACUUGAACAGGAUCUGUUCUAUAGGCUCGUACCACUGUAUCCUUGAGUUCUAAGGAGACAGGAAACUAAGUCUGGUUGAUGACACGUGGCCAUUUGACCAGAGCGUGAUUAACAGCACCCAUGGCCUUCGGGUUCAUGGCCGCCGUAGAUGAUCGUUCUCAGCUCCGUCAACGGUGUUGGGAUGGUCUAAUGGCUGUCUGACAGAUU